Molecule: long non-coding RNA, 1892 nt
Organism: Anolis carolinensis (green anole)
Lineage: Eukaryota; Metazoa; Chordata; Lepidosauria; Squamata; Anolidae
Exons: 5
Source: RefSeq, a predicted model, not a curated record
AUUAAAAGCAACGUACUGGAAGGAGCUUAAAUGAAGCUUAAAAGGAAGAAAGCUGGUGGAAUAAGUGCCAAUUUUGACAGAAUUGGAAACUAGACGUUGAAAGAGUCCAACAGCUGAAUUUCACGCUACUAAAUAUUGAAAGAUCAGAAAAGAACUCCAAGGGUAUGGUGGUGGGGACUAUCAAAGGAAUUCGAGCACAAAAGCUCUUAUGCCCUAACAAGCCUGGGACAAGUAUGCAAGUAUCAUUGAUAUAGGAAAUCAAAGCACAAAGUGAUCAGAAGAUUAAUUCAGAUACAGCAUACCAAGAUAACAUGAUGCAGCAUCAGAGGUAAGAAGCCUGCUUGGUCUUCAUUUUUUUUUUUCCACAUUGAAGUCCACAAUAGAGUUGUAGUCUCCCAUCAAAAUAAUAUCUGUGUACUCAAUGUCUUCAAUCUCUUUCUGAAGUUUUUCAAAGAAAGGAGCUUUUGCACUGUUAGGAGCAUAAAUAUUGACAAUGAAUAUUUUCUUUGUAAUUCUUUCGUUACCUUAGAAAUCUUUCUUCCAUAUCUAUCUUAACCAUUUGAAGUUGCUAGAGUUUGGGGAUGUACAAUGCCAGUCCAUUUUAAUUUUCACUCAUUAAAACUAUAAAUCACUUAGAUAUAGAGCAUCAUGCUCCAUUCUAUCUUUAUGUAUUAGUCCUCUAAUUUUAUCUAAACUCCAAUGUUUCUAUUACAUUUCAUAAUAUAAAAUCCUUUUCAAAAUCAUUAACUAGUCCAAUUUGCAUUGUCUUUUGCCUGUAAUUAUCUUGUAUGCUAGUCUCAGCCAAAUAUUAUCUCCUUUAUUUCAUUUUAAAUUUGACUUUCGCCUUCCGUUUUCCCAUUCUGUCGAUGAUCUUCACCCAAUCUUCUCAGACUUUCUUCCUUUCCCCUUACUAAUAUUUACAACUCCUUCCAAAUUUUGAUUUUAAAACAAAUGACCUGAGACAUAAUGCCUUUCUUUUUCAUAUUUUUCACCUGUUUCAUUAUUACAGGCUAGUACUUUUGUUAAAUCUACUUGAUUUUGUUUAACCAUCUGUGUAAAUUUCCUACACAUAAAUCCUCCCCGCUCAAUUGUAUCCCAAUUUUACAAUUUACUCUCCUUCUCCUUUGUUUUCAGUGACUAAUUCCUCCAUUAACUUAACUUGUAUUUAUUUCACCACACGAUUUUCAGCAUCCAUUAUUCCAUAUUUGUCCCACAUGUAUCCCCUCUUGUCUUGCACUUCCCUAACAGCUCUGCCUUAAUCUCAUUUUUCAAAUUCUCUGUCUUAUUAUCUUCAUAUCUCAGGGAAUGCAUCUGCUCCAACAAUGUUACAUAGAAUAAGGCAAUGUUACAGCAGACAGACAGUCUUAUAUCAGCAUCAAAGUGAUAAUCCUUUCAUGUUCUCAAAAAUAAAAUAAAAUUCAGUUGUAUAAAUAAAAAUAAAAUCUAUCCACAAAAAUACAUGGAGUUAAAUCUUUAAUUAUAAUUCUUCAAACAUACCAACUGCUAAUCUUUUUGUUUAACUUUUGAUCUUAUUUACACAUCUACUCAUUUUUGUCCACAUCUCCAUUUGUCAUUAACAGUGUUUGCUAGGGCUGACUGUAGGCUAAAACAUCAGAACAGGGAGUGGGUAAGUAUGAUCUAAAUUUAAUCGGUUGAAGUAAUUUUAAAACUCAACUUUGUUUUGAUGAGUCAAAACAAAUUGAGACACAAACUCAUUCAAGGUGUAUACUCUGUAUGAUAGAAAUUGCUCCUUCAACAUGUGCAUGUUCACUAGAACAUUUGUAGGGAGACCUCUUUGGACAUCUGGAAUCUCUAUCAACAGUCCAACAAAUAUCCAAAGGUCAGGAGAUGGAGCUGCAGACAUUAAUUAAUGAUGGGUGUGCAAAAUCUAA